This 2024-nucleotide long non-coding RNA is filed under the name Salmo salar (Atlantic salmon). Its description in RNAcentral is "lncRNA (ENSSSAG00000122149.1)". Lineage: Eukaryota; Metazoa; Chordata; Actinopteri; Salmoniformes; Salmonidae. The record is from RNAcentral.
GGAAGAGGAGCCUGGACAUCUGUAUGAGACAGAGAGAGGUAGAGGAACCUGGACAUCUGUAUGAGACAGAGAGAGGAAGAGGAACCUGGACAUCUGUAUAUGGACAGAGAGAUGUAGUGGAGCCUGGACAUCUGUAUCAGACAGAGAGAGGAAGAGGAACCUGGACAUCUGUAUAUGGACAGAGAGAGGUAUAGGAACCUGGACAACCUGGACAUCUGGUAUAGGAACCAGGACAGAGAGAGCUUUGGAACGGAGGGUUGGGUCCAUAAAUGUUCAAUGGUCUGCGUCCUGUUAGUAACAGCUCCCAGUCCAGGUCAUAACCUGAGUUACAGCUCCCAGACCAGGUCAUAACCUGAGUUACAGCUCCCAGGCCAGGUCAUAAACUGAGUUACAGCACCCAGACCAGGUCAUAAACUGAGUUACAGCUCCCAGGCCAGGUCAUAACCUGAGUAACAGCGUCCAGACCAGGUCAUAAACUGAGUUACAGCUCCCAGACCAGGUCAUAAACUGAGUUACAGCUCCCAGGCCAGGUCAUAACCUGAGUUACAGCUCCCAGACCAGGUCAUAACCUGAGAUACAGUGCCCAGACCAGGUCAUAAACUGUGAGGUUCAUGUGUCUGAAAUGGUACCUACUCUUUAUAUACAUUAGUUUUCAGACCCUUUGUUUUGAGACUUGAAAUUGAGCUCAGGUGCAUCCUGUUUCCAUAGAUCAUUCUUGAUAUCUUUGAUAUCUUUCUACAACUUCGUUGGAGUCUACCAAGAGCUGGCCGCCCGGCCAAACUGAGCAAUCGUGGGAGAAGGGCCUUGGUCAGGGAGGUGACCAAGAACCCGAUGGUUUACUCUGACAGAGCUCCAGAGUAUCUCUGUGGAGAUUGGAGAACGUUCUAAAAUGACAACCAUCUCUGCAGCACUCCACCAAUCAGGCCUUUGUGGUAGAGUGGCCAGACGGAAGCCCCUCCUCAGUAAAAGGCACAUGACAGCCCGCUUAGAGUUUGCCGAAAGGCACCUAAAGACUCUCAGACCAUGAGAAACAAGAUUCUCUGGUCUGAUGAAACCAAGAUUUAACUCUUUGGCCUGAAUGCCAAGCGUCACGUCUGGAGGAAACAGCAUCAUCCUGUCGGGAUGUUUUUCAGCGGCAAGGCCCGGGAGACAGGUCUGGAUCGAGGGAAAGAUGAAUGGAGCCCACAAGAUGAAUGGAGUCCACAUAGACCCUUGAUGAAAACCUGCUCCGGAGCGCUCAGGACCUCAGACUGGGGUGAAGGUUCACUUUCCAACUGGACAACGACCCUAAACACACAGCCAAGACAACGCAGGAGUGGCUUCGGGACAAGUCUCAUUUUAAUAUGGCUGAAACGUAACAAAAUGUGGAAAAAGUCAAGGGUUCUGAACACUUUCUGAAUGCACUGUAGUGCACUACUUUUGACCAGAGCCCUAAUACAAAAUAGUGCACUAUAUAGCAAAGAGGGUGCCAUUUGGGAUGAACACAGUUUUCAGUCUUGUAAUGAUGUAAUAGAAUGUUCUGAAUGUUCCGUUUCAGUUGACAGAAAGGUUUUAGACUAAUCAGAAAGACAGAGGAUGAUGUUUUGGGGUUUGAAGAAGCUGAUCGGCAGGUGUUGAGGUGAUUGUGACAUUGUAAGAAAAAAUUAUGAAGGCAAGCAGCAUUGUUCACAAAUUAAAAGGUUUGUCUCCAUUGUUCUGUAACAGCUUUAGCCAGUGAAGAUGUCAUAGUCCAGCGGUAUUCAAAGUCGGGGUCGUGACCCCUAGUGGUUCGCUGGGGAACUCCAGUGUGUUGUCAAAAUAAAAUAAACUGAAAGGAAGAGAACAGCUUUUUAUGGGUUUGUAUGGGUUAGUAUGGGUUUGUAUGGGUUUGUAUGGGACAAUGUACAAAUGUUUUAGUGAAAUAUCAUUUGUAAUGGGGUCCCCAGAAAUUCCGGCAAAAAAAAUGGUGUCCCGGUUUGUUUUUAGGUUUGUUUUCUCCUGGCCGAUUCUUCCCGUAUAAAGUCAUAUUCAUGCUUACACAGACC